AGCGAACGCUGGCGGCAGGCCUAACACAUGCAAGUCGAACGACCUCUUCGGAGUUAGUGUCGGACGGGUGAGUAACCCGUUGGAACGUGCCUUUUGGUUCGGACUAACUCAGGGAAACUUGUGCUAAUACCGAAUUUGCCCUUCGGGGGAACGGUUUAUCGCCAUUAGAGCGGCCCGCGUCUGAUUAGCUGGUUGGUGAGGUAACGGCUCAGAAAGGCGACAAUCAGUAGCUGGUCUGCGAGGCUGACCAGCAACACUGGUACUGAGACACGGCCCGAAUUCUGACGGAGGGAAGAAGGGGGGAAUCUGGCGAAAUGGGCGAAAGCUGAAGGCCGCCAGGCGGGGAAAAAGUUGAGGGGGUAAGGAUAGGAAAAUUGUUUAACCGGGGACGAUAAGAAGGGACCCGGAGAAGAAGCCCCGGCUAACUUCGUG
This 432-nucleotide ribosomal RNA is filed under the name uncultured bacterium. RNAcentral describes it as "partial 16S ribosomal RNA". It matches the Rfam family "Bacterial small subunit ribosomal RNA", at positions 29 to 507 of the family's 1533-position model. The record is from RNAcentral.